This 428-nucleotide ribosomal RNA is filed under the name uncultured bacterium. RNAcentral's name for it is "bacterial SSU rRNA". It matches the Rfam family "Bacterial small subunit ribosomal RNA", at positions 355 to 774 of the family's 1533-position model. The record is from RNAcentral.
UGAGGAAUUUUGCGCAAUGGGGGAAACCCUGACGCAGCAACGCCGCGUGAGUGAAGAAGGCUUUCGGGUCGUAAAGCUCUGUCGAGCGGGAAGAACCCUGUCAUGGUUAACAGCCAUGGCAGCUGACGGUACCGCUGGAGGAAGCACCGGCUAACUCCGUGCCAGCAGCCGCGGUAAUACGGAGGGUGCAAGCGUUAUUCGGAAUCAUUGGGCGUAAAGCGCGUGUAGGCGGCCUGGUAAGUCAGAUGUGAAAGUUUGGGGCUUAACUCCAAAAGUGCAUUUGAAACUAUUAGGCUUGAGUCCGGGAGAGGAAGGUGGAAUUCCCAGUGUAGAGGUGAAAUUCGUAGAUAUUGGGAGGAACACCGGUGGCGAAGGCGACCUUCUGGACCGAGACUGACGCUGAGACGCGAAAGCGUGGGGAGCAAACA